CCUACGGGGGGCUGCAGUGGGGAAUAUUGGACAAUGGGGGGAACCCUGAUCCAGCCAUGCCGCGUGUGUGAAGAAGGCCCUCGGGUUGUAAAGCACUUUCAGUGAGGAAGAACGCCUGGUGGUUAAUACCCAUCAGGAAAGACAUCACUCACAGAAGAAGCACCGGCUAACUCCGUGCCAGCAGCCGCGGUAAUACGGAGGGUGCGAGCGUUAAUCGGAAUUACUGGGCGUAAAGCGCGCGUAGGUGGCUUGAUAAGCCGGUUGUGAAAGCCCCGGGCUCAACCUGGGAACGGCAUCCGGAACUGUCAAGCUAGAGUGCAGGAGAGGAAGGUAGAAUUCCCGGUGUAGAGGUGAAAUGCGUAGAGAUCGGGAGGAAUACCAGUGGCGAAGGCGGCCUUCUGGACUGACACUGACACUGAGGUGCGAAAGCGUGGGUAGCAAACAGGAUUAGAUACCCUGGUAGUC
RNAcentral lists this ribosomal RNA (465 nucleotides) under Vreelandella stevensii. Its description in RNAcentral is "partial 16S ribosomal RNA". It matches the Rfam family "Bacterial small subunit ribosomal RNA", at positions 338 to 795 of the family's 1533-position model. The record is from RNAcentral. Lineage: Bacteria; Pseudomonadati; Pseudomonadota; Gammaproteobacteria; Oceanospirillales; Halomonadaceae.